This 1371-nucleotide ribosomal RNA is filed under the name uncultured bacterium. RNAcentral describes it as "bacterial SSU rRNA". It matches the Rfam family "Bacterial small subunit ribosomal RNA", at positions 28 to 1381 of the family's 1533-position model. The record is from RNAcentral.
GAUGAACGCUGGCGGCGUGCCUAAUACAUGCAAGUCGAGCGAACGGACGAGAAGCUUGCUUCUCUGAUGUUAGCGGCGGACGGGUGAGUAACACGUGGAUAACCUACCUAUAAGACUGGGAUAACUUCGGGAAACCGGAGCUAAUACCGGAUAAUAUUUUGAACCGCAUGGUUCAAAAGUGAAAGACGGUCUUGCUGUCACUUAUAGAUGGAUCCGCGCUGCAUUAGCUAGUUGGUAAGGUAACGGCUUACCAAGGCAACGAUGCAUAGCCGACCUGAGAGGGUGAUCGGCCACACUGGAACUGAGACACGGUCCAGACUCCUACGGGAGGCAGCAGUAGGGAAUCUUCCGCAAUGGGCGAAAGCCUGACGGAGCAACGCCGCGUGAGUGAUGAAGGUCUUCGGAUCGUAAAACUCUGUUAUUAGGGAAGAACAUAUGUGUAAGUAACUGUGCACAUCUUGACGGUACCUAAUCAGAAAGCCACGGCUAACUACGUGCCAGCAGCCGCGGUAAUACGUAGGUGGCAAGCGUUAUCCGGAAUUAUUGGGCGUAAAGCGCGCGUAGGCGGUUUUUUAGUCUGAUGUGAAAGCCCACGGCUCAACCGUGGAGGGUCAUUGGAAACUGGAAAACUUGAGUGCAGAAGAGGAAAGUGGAAUUCCAUGUGUAGCGGUGAAAUGCGCAGAGAUAUGGAGGGACACCAGUGGCGAAGGCGACUUUCUGGUCUGUAACUGACGCUGAUGUGCGAAAGCGUGGGGAUCAAACAGGAUUAGAUACCCUGGUAGUCCACGCCGUAAACGAUGAGUGCUAAGUGUUAGGGGGUUUCCGCCCCUUAGUGCUGCAGCUAACGCAUUAAGCACUCCGCCUGGGGAGUACGACCGCAAGGUUGAAACUCAAAGGAAUUGACGGGGACCCGCACAAGCGGUGGAGCAUGUGGUUUAAUUCGAAGCAACGCGAAGAACCUUACCAAAUCUUGACAUCCUUUGACAACUCUAGAGAUAGAGCUUUCCCCUUCGGGGGACAAAGUGACAGGUGGUGCAUGGUUGUCGUCAGCUCGUGUCGUGAGAUGUUGGGUUAAGUCCCGCAACGAGCGCAACCCUUAAGCUUAGUUGCCAUCAUUAAGUUGGGCACUCUAAGUUGACUGCCGGUGACAAACCGGGGGAAGGUGGGGAUGACGUCAAAUCAUCAUGCCCCUUAUGAUUUGGGCUACACACGUGCUACAAUGGACAAUACAAAGGGCAGCGAAACCGUGAGGUCAAGCAAAUCCCAUAAAGUUGUUCUCAGUUCGGAUUGUGGUCUGCAACUCGACUACAUGAAGCUGGAAUCGCUAGUAAUCGUAGAUCAGCAUGCUACGGUGAAUACGUUCCCGGGUCU